CACAUUCAUUCACGCCUUACCUCCAUCUCUUCUCUUCUCUGUCACAUCCCUCUCCCUCACGGUUCAGCAGCAUCCCCAGCACCACCAGGCGACGCCUCCACCGUAGCCACCAGCAGCCACGGUAGCGCCUCCCUACCGGCAGCCAGCAGCCACCAACAGGCUGCGUUCGCCUCCUCACAGCAGCAGCAGUGGCUGCGUUCUCCCCCCACCAACAGCAGUUGAGCUGCACCUUAAACAACCACCAGCAGCGGCUGUGACGGAAAAUUUUGCAGCCUCCACCAUCACACAUACUCACCACCACCACACCAACUACUUGCCCCUUCACAUCUUCUCUUAUUCCCCCUUAUGGGUGGCCAUUUCAACACAUUGAACAAUGAACAUAUCUUCACCCAAUCUAUGACUACUUGUGAAUUGUUCUUUAUCCGUGUACCCAACUCCAAAAAAACCCUAAUUCCUUAACCCAUAAGUUUUGGAAUACAAAUUCAAGUUUCCGUGUCGUAUCCAAUGAUCUGGCCGUUUUCCUCCAGUUCUCCAACCUGUUUAUCAAGGUUCAUUGUGAAGCUGUCUAAUUGAAUGGCAAAAAGGGCCUAUCAGUGUUAUUACAAAAUUCUCCAAGCAUUUAUACGAGAAUUUAGCAGUGAGAAACUUCAGCCUGUCUUUGCUACAUUUAUAAAGAGAUACGGAUUAGUUAAACCAACGUUGGGGAAGAUGUUGGUGCAUUACUUGUGUAUGGAGAAUAAUAUAGGCAGCGCCCUUAGGCUCAUUAAUGAGUUGAAUAAGAGCAAUUUGAAGUUAAAUUUUUUAGUGGAUGUUUUCGGGAUGCUUACAGCACAAGGUAGACCUUUGGAUGCAUAUAGACUUGUCAUGGGUGCCCAAUAUGAUCUACCUAGUAUGGAUGUGGUUGAUUACUCAAUCCUCGUUGAUGGGCUCUGCAAAGAAGGGUACAUUGAUAAGGCCUUAGAAUUGUGUACUUUUGCCAGAAAGAAAGGAAUCCAGCUUACUGUUGUAACUUAUAACUCUCUUUUUAAUGGGUUAUGUCGUCAAAAUUGUCUUGUUCAGGCUUUUAGGCUCUUUGAUUCAUUGGAGAGGAAUAAGAUAAUUCCUUCUGAUAUUACAUACGGGACUCUUAUCGAUGCUCUGGUUAGAGAAGGCUUUUUGUUGGAUGCUCGGCAAUUAUUUGAGAGAAUGAUCAUCAAGGAUAUAAAACCAAAUACCCAUAUUUAUAAUUCUCUGAUUGAUGGAUACUGUAAAUUGGGAAACGUGAAAGAAGCAUUGAAACUUCUCUAUGAUUUGGAGAAUCACUCUCUUAAACCAGAGAAAUUCACUAUAAGUGCUAUGAUUUAUGGUUUUGCCUUAGAAGGAAAUUUGGAGGGUGCACUUCAAUUUUUUGUUAAUAUGAAAGGGAAUGGAUUUUCACCAGAUUUUUUGGGCUUUCUAUAUUUAGUAAGGGGUUUAUGCGCAAAGGGUAGAAUGGAAGAGGCAAGGAGUGUCAUAAGAGAAAUGCUUGAAGAUGAAUCUGUUCUACAGUUGUUAAAUAGAGUUAAUGAUGAAAUUGAAAUCGAUUCUAUUGAAAGCUUUAUUGUUCAAUUGUGUGAACAGGGGAAUAUCCAGGGUGCUCUUGUCAUUCUCAACGAAAUUGGAUCGAUGUAUUUCCCUUACAAGAGAAUUCCAACUUCUAGUGCACAAAUAAAUAUGGUAUCUUGUGAGGGAAAUGUUCAUACCCUUUCUCAUAAUGCUCUCCCCUCCAUCCGUGAAAUGGACUUUGAUGCUUUAUACUCGCAAAUGAACUCUCUUUGCUCCUUAGGUGAUCUCCAAGGAGCUACGGCACUAGCAAAGGCUAUGAUCUCUGGUAUUGAAAAAAUAUGAUGGCAUCAUAUUGACACCUGUCACAAGUUAAAAAGAUACAGAUCCUCUGGGUUUGGCCGUUAAUGUGAAGCAACACAACAUAUGAGCUACAGAUACAGAAGAGUUGGAGGAAGGAUAUCUUGAUGGACUAAAAGAAAUUCCGAGUUCAUAGGUGAUCAACAAAUAAAAGAUUUUCUACUGGUUUUUGAUAUAUGUUUUCAUGUGCUGUUUUGGUAUGAUAUGCUCUUUUCAGAUUGAAUUUUCUGCUGAUCUGGAUUCUAUUAUGCCUUUCUUGUGACUGCUAUAUCUGGUCCUUGAGACAUUAUUUGGUUUCGAGAGUGUGCAGGUUGUGAGUUUCCUACUGCUGGUGCACAAGCUGUUCUGUGGGAACUUGCAAACUACUGUUGUCUUGGCUUGUUUAGCUUUUAUGUAUACUCAGUAAGUAAGCUGUUAGGAGCUUGCUGUUGGCCUUGCAGUUUGCUUUUGGUUGGGUUUUGGUUAUGUUCUUUCGGCUUAUGUGCUUAGUUUUUGUUAGACGUUGACAGAAUAGGAUAUGGUGAAGGACAGUGGACCUCACGUCACUCUCAAACUUUGUGUCACAUGGUCAAUUGUAAAACAUCAUUGAUUGUUUUUAUUAAGAAUAAUUUGCAAAUUACAGCCUUAAAGUUUAAGAGUUUUGCGAAUUACAUUCUUCAUGUUUAUUUUUUACGAAUUACGGCCACCAAAUUAUCAAAUUCUACAGCGCUCAGGCCAAAUUACAGAAUUCCGACCACUUAACCUAAAAUUUCGACCACUAAAAGGGUCGGAAUUAUGUUAUUUGGCUUGAACGUUGUAGACUUUGAUACUUUUGUGGCUGUAGUUUUCAAAAGAUAUAUAUUGAGGCUGUAAUUUGCAAAUGUUCUAAACCUAAAGGGUGUAAUUUGCAAAUUAUUCUUUUAUUAAUAGAAAAACCUUUCCUUGUGUUUUUCACAAAUAGAAGCUAGAGAAGAAAUGUUGCAGCCUCUAGCAAUUAUCAGCUUAUCUGUGGUGAGAAGUCUGUCAUGAAUGCAAGCUAUUUAAUGGACCUAAAUUUUUGGAUAGUAACUCUAUUCCAGAUAUAGGAAUUCCAAUCAAUCUCAUGCUCAGCAGAAGUCUGCAAUCUAUACACUUCAUUGACCUGAUAACAGGAGGGGUAGGAAGAUCCCAGCAAUUGAGGUUCUUAAUGUACCUCUCAUCAACCCACUUAACCCACAUAGAUUCCUGAUUGCAAGCAAUACUCCAAACAUUCAUUCUAGCAGCACUGACAUUCCAUUUGUUGAUAUCUCUAACGCGUAAACCUCCAAGCUUCUUAGGAUAGCAAACAAGCUCCUAGUUAACAAGCCCGGGAGAUUUACUUUCGUGGGAACCAUGCUGCAAGAAAGAUCUACAAAUAUCCUUGAUUCUUUUCAUAAUAGCCUUAAAAAUGAUCAUUAUUUGGCAUCAGUAGCAAGUAAUGUUUAUUAGGAAAGCAUUGAUAAGGCAGCUAAGAGAAACACAUUUUCUACCAUAAUGUGACACGUUUUUGACGAAGCAUGACAUCAUUAAGGAUAUUUCUACCCUUCACAAAGGCACCUUGAUUAGGAGCAAUCAGAUCAUCAAGGACAAGGGAAAGUUUUUGUAAAAAUGAGCUUUGAAGUGCUUUUGCAAAUGAUAUUACUACAAGAUAUAGGCCUGAAGGAGCAAAACUAAGAGCUUUCACUUUAGGAAUGAAGAGUGCAUGCUUUUGUACUUAUAUCUGUUUUACUCAUAUCUAGAGCACACAUAAAUCUAUCUUCAAGGCACAAUUUACUUUGUGAUUUAUGCUAAUUAAGAUAUAGUAAUUGUAAUGAAAAUUUAGUAUCCGUUCUUAUCGAUUACCACUUGAAGAAGUAAUCAUGGGUGACGGAAAUUGUGAAGAAAAAAAAUAUUUUUGAAGAUA
Molecule: RNA transcript, 3781 nt
Organism: Amaranthus tricolor (Joseph's coat)
Lineage: Eukaryota; Viridiplantae; Streptophyta; Magnoliopsida; Caryophyllales; Amaranthaceae
Gene name: pentatricopeptide repeat-containing protein At5g57250, mitochondrial-like
Exons: 4
Source: RefSeq, a predicted model, not a curated record